UACGGAGGGUGCGAGCGUUGCUCGGAAUUAUUGGGCGUAAAGCGUACGCAGGCGGCGCCGCAAGUCGGGUGUGAAAGCCCGGGGCUCAACCCCGGAAAUGCGCCCGAAACUGCGGUGCUUGAGUGCGGGAGAGGGAAGCGGAAUCCGUGGUGUAGAGGUGAAAUUCGUAGAUAUCACGGGGAACACCGGUGGCGAAAGCGGCUUCCUGGCCCGAUACUGACGCUCAUGUACGAAAGCGUGGGGAGCAAACAGG
This 253-nucleotide ribosomal RNA is filed under the name uncultured bacterium. RNAcentral describes it as "partial 16S ribosomal RNA". It matches the Rfam family "Bacterial small subunit ribosomal RNA", at positions 524 to 776 of the family's 1533-position model. The record is from RNAcentral.